UAGGUGGAAGCUGAAAAACCUUAAAGAGUAGGCA
Non-coding RNA from Imtechella halotolerans K1, 34 nucleotides. Lineage: Bacteria; Pseudomonadati; Bacteroidota; Flavobacteriia; Flavobacteriales; Flavobacteriaceae. The record is from Rfam.